UAAAAUAUACUUACACUACCACGCCAGGGGAUAACGAGCCUAGCUUAAAACCCAAAGGACUUGACGGUGUCCCACCCAACUAGAGGAGCCUGUUCUAUAAUCGAUAACCCCCGAUUUACCCAACCCUAUUUUGCCACUCAGCCUGUAUACCUCCGUCGUAAGCUUACCAUAUGAAUGCCCACAGUAAGUUUAAUGAUUUUAACAUCAGUACGUCAGGUCAAGGUGCAGCUUAUAAUGGGGAAAGAAAUGGGCUACAAUUUCUAAACUAGAACACACGAAAUGCUACAUGAAACAUAACAACGAAGGCGGAUUUAGUAGUAAAAGGGGAAUAGUGUGCCCCUUUUAACAAGGCCCUGGGACGUGU
This 364-nucleotide ribosomal RNA is filed under the name Limnonectes modestus (Moluccas wart frog). RNAcentral describes it as "partial 12S ribosomal RNA". It matches the Rfam family "Bacterial small subunit ribosomal RNA", at positions 847 to 1384 of the family's 1533-position model. Lineage: Eukaryota; Metazoa; Chordata; Amphibia; Anura; Dicroglossidae. The record is from RNAcentral.